GCCCAGGUAGCUCAGUUGGUAGAGCAACGGACUGAAAAUCCGUGUGUCGGCGGUUCGAGCCCGCCCCUGGGCACCA
Molecule: transfer RNA, 76 nt
Filed under: Alphaproteobacteria bacterium
Lineage: Bacteria; Pseudomonadati; Pseudomonadota; Alphaproteobacteria
Description: tRNA-Phe
Rfam family: tRNA
About the family: Transfer RNA (tRNA) molecules are approximately 80 nucleotides in length. Their secondary structure includes four short double-helical elements and three loops (D, anti-codon, and T loops).
Source: RNAcentral